RNAcentral lists this non-coding RNA (20 nucleotides) under Rattus norvegicus (Norway rat). Lineage: Eukaryota; Metazoa; Chordata; Mammalia; Rodentia; Muridae. The record is from RNAcentral.
UGGGAUUUUGGUGCAGGGAG